This 468-nucleotide ribosomal RNA is filed under the name uncultured bacterium. Its description in RNAcentral is "partial 16S ribosomal RNA". It matches the Rfam family "Bacterial small subunit ribosomal RNA", at positions 28 to 507 of the family's 1533-position model. The record is from RNAcentral.
GACGAACGCUGGCGGCGUGCUUAACACAUGCAAGUCGAACGGAAAGGCCCUGCUUUUGUGGGGUGCUCGAGUGGCGAACGGGUGAGUAACACGUGAGUAACCUGCCCUUGACUUUGGGAUAACUUCAGGAAACUGGGGCUAAUACCGGAUAGGAGCUCCUGCUGCAUGGUGGGGGUUGGAAAGUUUCGGCGGUUGGGGAUGGACUCGCGGCUUAUCAGCUUGUUGGUGGGGUAGUGGCUUACCAAGGCGUUGACGGGUAGCCGGCCUGAGAGGGUGACCGGCCACAUUGGGACUGAGAUACGGCCCAGACUCCUACGGGAGGCAGCAGUGGGGAAUAUUGCACAAUGGGCGGAAGCCUGAUGCAGCAACGCCGCGUGCGGGAUGACGGCCUUCGGGUUGUAAACCGCUUCCGCCUGUGACGAAGCGUGAGUGACGGUAAUGGGUAAAGAAGCACCGGCUAACUACGUG